Non-coding RNA from Oryctolagus cuniculus (rabbit), 618 nucleotides. The record is from the annotation of a RefSeq genome assembly. Lineage: Eukaryota; Metazoa; Chordata; Mammalia; Lagomorpha; Leporidae.
GGAGACCUCCCACUCUGAGGACCAGAAGAGCAGAUAAGAAGGGAGGCUGGGUCAGCCCUCACUGUGGGCUCAGGAAGCAGGGACUUGGGCAUCUCAGCCAUGGCCUGGGCUCCACUGCUCCUCACAGUCCUGGCUCACUGCACAGGGUCCUGGGCCCAGUUUGUGCUGACUCAGCCCCAGUCUGUGUCGGGAUCCCUGGGGCAGACGGUCUCCAUAUCCUGCAAACGCGACAGUGACAACAUUGAGGAUUACUAUGUGCACUGGUACCAGCAGCACCCAGGCAAGACCCCCACCAUAGUCAUCUACAAUGAUGAUCAGAGACCGUCGGGGGUUCCUGAUCGGUUCUCUGGCUCCAUCGACAGCACCUCCAACUCUGCCUCCCUGACCAUCACUGGGCUGCUGGCUGAGGACGAGGCUGACUACUACUGUCUGUCUUCUGAUAGCAGUGCUAAUCCCACAGUGAUCCAGAAUCAUGGGGAAGACUCCCAGAUGCCACAGCCAAGAGAGUCUGAGAGCAGCCUCCUGAUGCCCAUGGGAUUUGAAAUAACUCUGGGUGAUGCUGAACAGGGGACCCAUGCUGUGCCCAUGAAGCGAUGCUGUCAGGAAGGAGGACUCUGA